UACAGGGGGGGCAAGCGUUGUUCGGAAUUACUGGGCGUAAAGGGCUCGUAGGCGGCCGGCUAAGUCCGACGUGAAAUCCCCAGGCUUAACCUGGGAACUGCGUCGGAUACUGGCGGGCUUGAAUCCGGGAGAGGGAUGCGGAAUUCCAGGUGUAGCGGUGAAAUGCGUAGAUAUCUGGAGGAACACCGGUGGCGAAGGCGGCAUCCUGGACCAACACUGACGCUGAGGAGCGAAAGCCAGGGGAGCAAACGGG
RNAcentral lists this ribosomal RNA (253 nucleotides) under uncultured bacterium. RNAcentral's name for it is "partial 16S ribosomal RNA". It matches the Rfam family "Bacterial small subunit ribosomal RNA", at positions 524 to 776 of the family's 1533-position model. The record is from RNAcentral.